AUUGAACGCUGGCGGCAGCCCUAACACAUGCAAUACGGACGUGCGGCGGACGGGUGAGGACUGUUUGCGAAAAUGCCUGAUGGAGGGGGAUAACUCCUGGAAACGGUAGCUAAUACCGCAUACCAUCGGGUGUGUCCAGAUGGGAUUAGCUAGUAGGUGGGGUAAAGGCUCACCUAGGCGACGAUCCCGAGCUGGUCUGCGAGGAGGACCAGCCACACUGAAAGUUGGACACGGACCAGAAUCCGACGGGAGUCAGCAGUGGGGAAUAUGGCACACGGGGCGCAAGCCUGAUGCAGCCAGGCCGCGUGUAUGAAGAAGGCCUUCGGUUUGUAAAGUACUUUCAGCGGGGAGGCGUUACCCGCAUAAGAAACACCGGCUAACUCCGUGCCAGCAGCCGCGGUAAUAC
RNAcentral lists this ribosomal RNA (406 nucleotides) under uncultured bacterium. RNAcentral describes it as "partial 16S ribosomal RNA". It matches the Rfam family "Bacterial small subunit ribosomal RNA", at positions 30 to 526 of the family's 1533-position model. The record is from RNAcentral.